UACGUAGGUGGCAAGCGUUACUCGGAAUCACUAGGCGUAAAGCGCAGGUAGGCGGUUCGGUAAGUCUCUUGUGAAAGCUCCCGGCUCAACUGGGAGAGGUCAAGGGAAACUGCCGGGCUAGAGUGUGGCAGAGGAAGAUGGAAUUCCCGGUGUAGCGGUGAAAUGCGUAGAGAUCGGGAGGAAUACCUAUGGCGAAAGCAGGCUUCUGGGCCAUCACUGACACUGAUCUGCGAAAGCUAGGGGAGCAAACAGG
RNAcentral lists this ribosomal RNA (253 nucleotides) under uncultured bacterium. RNAcentral describes it as "partial 16S ribosomal RNA". It matches the Rfam family "Bacterial small subunit ribosomal RNA", at positions 524 to 776 of the family's 1533-position model. The record is from RNAcentral.